RNAcentral lists this ribosomal RNA (484 nucleotides) under uncultured bacterium. Its description in RNAcentral is "partial 16S ribosomal RNA". It matches the Rfam family "Bacterial small subunit ribosomal RNA", at positions 29 to 507 of the family's 1533-position model. The record is from RNAcentral.
AUUGAACGCUGGCGGCAUGCUUUACACAUGCAAGUCGAACGGCAGCGCGGGCUUCGGCCUGGCGGCGAGUGGCGAACGGGUGAGUAAUACAUCGGAACGUGCCCAGUAGUGGGGGAUAGCUCGGCGAAAGCCGGAUUAAUACCGCAUACGACCUGAGGGUGCAAGCGGGGGAUCUUCGGACCUCGCGCUAUUGGAGCGGCCGAUGGCAGGUUAGCCAGUUGGUGGGGUAAAGGCCUACCAAGGCGACGAUCUGUAGCUGGUCUGAGAGGACGACCAGCCACACUGGGACUGAGACACGGCCCAGACUCCUACGGGAGGCAGCAGUGGGGAAUUUUGGACAAUGGGCGAAAGCCUGAUCCAGCAAUGCCGCGUGUGUGAUGAAGGCCUUCGGGUUGUAAAGCACUUUUGGCGGGAACGAAAGGGACUGUGCCAAUACCACGGUUCGAUGACGGUACCCGCAGAAUAAGCACCGGCUAACUACGUA